CGAAUGCUGACAUAAGUAACGAUAAAGCGGGUGAAAAGCCCGCUCGCCGGAAGACCAAGGGUUCCUGUCCAACGUUAAUCGGGGCAGGGUGAGUCGACCCCUAAGGCGAGGCCGAAAGGCGUAGUCGAUGGGAAACAGGUUAAUAUUCCUGUACUUGGUGUUACUGCGAAGGGGGGACGGAGAAGGCUAUGUUGGCCGGGCGACGGUUGUCCCGGUUUAAGCGUGUAGGCUGGUUUUCCAGGCAAAUCCGGAAAAUCAAGGCUGAGGCGUGAUGACGAGGCACUACGGUGCUGAAGCAACAAAUGCCCUGCUUCCAGGAAAAGCCUCUAAGCAUCAGGUAACAUCAAAUCGUACCCCAAACCGACACAGGUGGUCAGGUAGAGAAUACCAAGGCGCUUGAGAGAACUCGGGUGAAGGAACUAGGCAAAAUGGUGCCGUAACUUCGGGAGAAGGCACGCUGAUAUGUAGGUGAAGUCCCUCGCGGAUGGAGCUGAAAUCAGUCGAAGAUACCAGCUGGCUGCAACUGUUUAUUAAAAACACAGCACUGUGCAAACACGAAAGUGGACGUAUACGGUGUGACGCCUGCCCGGUGCCGGAAGGUUAAUUGAUGGGGUCAGCGCAAGCGAAGCUCUUGAUCGAAGCCCCGGUAAACGGCGGCCGUAACUAUAACGGUCCUAAGGUAGCGAAAUUCCUUGUCGGGUAAGUUCCGACCUGCACGAAUGGCGUAAUGAUGGCCAGGCUGUCUCCACCCGAGACUCAGUGAAAUUGAACUCGCUGUGAAGAUGCAGUGUACCCGCGGCAAGACGGAAAGACCCCGUGAACCUUUACUAUAGCUUGACACUGAACAUUGAGCCUUGAUGUGUAGGAUAGGUGGGAGGCUUUGAAGUGUGGACGCCAGUCUGCAUGGAGCCGACCUUGAAAUACCACCCUUUAAUGUUUGAUGUUCUAACGUGGACCCGUGAUCCGGGUUGCGGACAGUGUCUGGUGGGUAGUUUGACUGGGGCGGUCUCCUCCUAAAGAGUAACGGAGGAGCACGAAGGUUGGCUAAUCCUGGUCGGACAUCAGGAGGUUAGUGCAAUGGCAUAAGCCAGCUUGACUGCGAGCGUGACGGCGCGAGCAGGUGCGAAAGCAGGUCAUAGUGAUCCGGUGGUUCUGAAUGGAAGGGCCAUCGCUCAACGGAUAAAAGGUACUCCGGGGAUAACAGGCUGAUACCGCCCAAGAGUUCAUAUCGACGGCGGUGUUUGGCACCUCGAUGUCGGCUCAUCACAUCCUGGGGCUGAAGUAGGUCCCAAGGGUAUGGCUGUUCGCCAUUUAAAGUGGUACGCGAGCUGGGUUUAGAACGUCGUGAGACAGUUCGGUCCCUAUCUGCCGUGGGCGCUGGAGAACUGAGGGGGGCUGCUCCUAGUACGAGAGGACCGGAGUGGACGCAUCACUGGUGUUCGGGUUGUCAUGCCAAUGGCACUGCCCGGUAGCUAAAUGCGGAAGAGAUAAGUGCUGAAAGCAUCUAAGCACGAAACUUGCCCCGAGAUGAGUUCUCCCUGACCCUUUAAGGGUCCUGAAGGAACGUUGAAGACGACGACGUUGAUAGGCCGGG
Molecule: ribosomal RNA, 1594 nt
Filed under: Escherichia coli
Lineage: Bacteria; Pseudomonadati; Pseudomonadota; Gammaproteobacteria; Enterobacterales; Enterobacteriaceae
Description: partial 23S ribosomal RNA
Rfam family: Bacterial large subunit ribosomal RNA
Source: RNAcentral